This 506-nucleotide ribosomal RNA is filed under the name uncultured bacterium. RNAcentral's name for it is "partial 16S ribosomal RNA". It matches the Rfam family "Bacterial small subunit ribosomal RNA", at positions 29 to 526 of the family's 1533-position model. The record is from RNAcentral.
AGUGAACGCUGGCGGUAGGCCUAACACAUGCAAGUCGAACGGCAGCACAGGAGAGCUUGCUCUCUGGGUGGCGAGUGGCGGACGGGUGAGGAAUACAUCGGAAUCUACUCUGUCGUGGGGGAUAACGUAGGGAAACUUACGCUAAUACCGCAUACGACCUACGGGUGAAAGCAGGGGACCUUCGGGCCUUGCGCGAUUGAAUGAGCCGAUGUCGGAUUAGCUAGUUGGCGGGGUAAGGGCCCACCAAGGCGACGAUCCGUAGCUGGUCUGAGAGGAGGAUCAGCCAACCUGGAACUGAGACACGGUCCAGACUCCUACGGGAGGCAGCAGUGGGGAAUAUUGGACAAUGGGCGCAAGCCUGAUCCAGCCAUACCGCGUGGGUGAAGAAGGCCUUCGGGUUGUAAAGCCCUUUUGUUGGGAAAGAAAUCCAGCUGGCUAAUACCCGGUUGGGAUGACGGUACCCAAAGAAUAAGCACCGGCUAACUUCGUGCCAGCCGCCGUAAGAC